CCUACGGGUGGCAGCAGUGGGGAAUAUUGCGCAAUGGGCGAAAGCCUGACGCAGCGACGCCGCGUGAGGGAUGAAGGUCUUCGGAUCGUAAACCUCUGUCAGCAGGGAAGAACGGUCACGGUGCUAAGCAGCAGUGAAUUGACGGUACCUGCAAAGGAAGCACCGGCUAACUCCGUGCCAGCAGCCGCGGUAAUACGGAGGGUGCGAGCGUUAAUCGGCAUUACUGGGCGUAAAGCGCGCGUAGGCGGUAUGUCAAGUCAAGGGUGAAAUCCCCGCGCUCAACGUGGGAACUGCCUUUGAAACUGGCAAACUUGAGUGUGUGAGAGGUUAGUGGAAUUCCUGGUGUAGGCGUGAAAUCCGUAGAUAUCUGGAGGAACAUCAGUGGCGAAGGCGACUUUCUGGCCCAUAACUGACGCUGAGGCUCGAAAGCGUGGGUAGCAAACAGGAUUAGAUACCCUAGUAGUC
This 465-nucleotide ribosomal RNA is filed under the name uncultured bacterium. Its description in RNAcentral is "partial 16S ribosomal RNA". It matches the Rfam family "Bacterial small subunit ribosomal RNA", at positions 338 to 795 of the family's 1533-position model. The record is from RNAcentral.